CGGACGGGUGAGUAACGCGUGAGAAUCUGGCUUCAGGUCGGGGACAACAGUUGGAAACGACUGCUAAUACCGGAUGUGCCGAAAGGUAAAAGGCUUGCUGCCUGAAGAUGAGCUCGCGUCUGAUUAGCUAGUAGGUGUGGUAAGAGCGCACCUAGGCGACGAUCAGUAGCUGGUCUGAGAGGAUGAUCAGCCACACUGGGACUGAGACACGGCCCAGACUCCUACGGGAGGCAGCAGUGGGGAAUUUUCCGCAAUGGGCGAAAGCCUGACGGAGCAAUACCGCGUGAGGGAGGAAGGCUCUUGGGUUGUAAACCUCUUUUCUCAGGGAAGAAAUUUUGACGGUACUUGAGGAAUAAGCAUCGGCUAACUCCGUGCCAGCAGCCGCGGUAAUACGGAGGAUGCAAGCGUUAUCCGGAAUGAUUGGGCGUAAAGCGUCCGCAGGUGGCAGUGAAAGUCUGCUGUCAAAGAGUCUGGCUCAACCAGAUAAAGGCAGUGGAAACUACACAGCUAGAGUGAGGUAGGGGCAGAGGGAAUUCCUGGUGUAGCGGUGAAAUGCGUAGAGAUCAGGAAGAACACCGGUGGCGAAAGCGCUCUGCUGGACCGCAACUGACACUGAGGGACGAAAGCUAGGGGAGCGAAUGGGAUUAGAUACCCCAGUAGUC
Molecule: ribosomal RNA, 662 nt
Filed under: uncultured cyanobacterium
Lineage: Bacteria; Bacillati; Cyanobacteriota
Description: bacterial SSU rRNA
Rfam family: Bacterial small subunit ribosomal RNA
Source: RNAcentral